GCAUAUGUUAGCAUAGUUUAACAUAAAACACUAGAAUGUGACUCUAAAAAUAGAGGUUUAAUUCCCCUUGC
This 71-nucleotide transfer RNA is filed under the name Podocnemis vogli. RNAcentral's name for it is "transfer RNA-His". It matches the Rfam family "tRNA". From Rfam's summary of the family: Transfer RNA (tRNA) molecules are approximately 80 nucleotides in length. Lineage: Eukaryota; Metazoa; Chordata; Testudines; Podocnemididae. The record is from RNAcentral.